GCGCACUUAGCUCAGUGUUAGAGCAUCACUUUUGAAUGUUGAGGUCACAGGUUCAAUCCCUGCAGUGCACA
This 71-nucleotide transfer RNA is filed under the name Phakopsora pachyrhizi. RNAcentral's name for it is "tRNA-Ser". It matches the Rfam family "tRNA". From Rfam's summary of the family: Transfer RNA (tRNA) molecules are approximately 80 nucleotides in length. Their secondary structure includes four short double-helical elements and three loops (D, anti-codon, and T loops). The record is from RNAcentral. Lineage: Eukaryota; Fungi; Basidiomycota; Pucciniomycetes; Pucciniales; Phakopsoraceae.